Molecule: small nuclear RNA, 107 nt
Filed under: Camelus bactrianus (Bactrian camel)
Lineage: Eukaryota; Metazoa; Chordata; Mammalia; Artiodactyla; Camelidae
Also listed under: 1 other name
Source: RNAcentral
GUGCUCACUUCGGCAGCACGUGUACUAAAAUUGGAACGAUACAGAGAAGAUUAGCAUGGCCCCUGCAGAAGGAUGACACACAAAUUCAUGAAGCAUUCUGUAUUUUU